GAUGAACGCUAGCGGGAGGCUUAAUACAUGCAAGUCGAGGGGUAACAUGAGAGCUUGCUCUUGAUGACGACCGGCGCACGGGUGAGUAACGCGUACACAACCUACCUCUAAGUGGGGAAUAGCCUUUGGAAACGAAGAGUAAUACCCCAUAGCAUUAUUUCUUUUUAUGAUGAAAUAAUUAAAGCUCCGGCGCUUAGAGAUGGGUGUGCGUCCCAUUAGCUUGUUGGUAAGGUAACGGCUUACCAAGGCGACGAUGGGUAGGGGGCGUGAGAGCGUGACCCCCCCACACGGGUACUGAGACACGGACCCGACUCCUACGGGAGGCAGCAGUAAGGAAUAUUGGACAAUGGGCGAAAGCCUGAUCCAGCCAUCCCGCGUGCAGGAUGACGGCCCUAUGGGUUGUAAACUGCUUUUAGAUAGGAAGAAACCCCAUUCGUGAGUGGGGCUGACGGUACUAUCAGAAUAAGCACCGGCUAACUCCGUGCCAGCAGCCGCGGUAAAGUCGUACG
Molecule: ribosomal RNA, 509 nt
Filed under: uncultured bacterium
Lineage: Bacteria
Description: bacterial SSU rRNA
Rfam family: Bacterial small subunit ribosomal RNA
Source: RNAcentral